RNAcentral lists this non-coding RNA (26 nucleotides) under Mus musculus (house mouse). Lineage: Eukaryota; Metazoa; Chordata; Mammalia; Rodentia; Muridae. The record is from RNAcentral.
GCCUUACAAGGAGCAGUUUGAGCCUA